Molecule: ribosomal RNA, 497 nt
Filed under: uncultured bacterium
Lineage: Bacteria
Description: partial 16S ribosomal RNA
Rfam family: Bacterial small subunit ribosomal RNA
Source: RNAcentral
GAUGAACGCUGGCGGCGUGCCUAAUACAUGCAAGUCGAGCGAACGGACGAGAAGCUUGCUUCUCUGAUGUUAGCGGCGGACGGGUGAGUAACACGUGGAUAACCUACCUAUAAGACUGGGAUAACUUCGGGAAACCGGAGCUAAUACCGGAUGAUAUUUUGAACCGCAUGGUUCAAAAGUGAAAGACGGUCUUGCUGUCACUUAUAGAUGGAUCCGCGCUGCAUUAGCUAGUUGGUAAGGUAACGGCUUACGAAGGCAACGAUGCAUAGCCGACCUGAGAGGGUGAUCGGCCACACGGGAACUGAGACACGGUCCAGACUCCUACGGGAGGCAGCAGUAGGGAAUCUUCCGCAAUGGGCGAAAGCCUGACGGAGCAACGCCGCGUGAGUGAUGAAGGUCUUCGGAUCGUAAAACUCUGUUAUUAGGGAAGAACAUAUGUGUAAGUAACUGUGCACAUCUUGACGGUACCUAAUCAGAAAGCCACGGCUAACUACGUG